AGAUAGAGGUUGCGUAUAUUAUCAGUAGUUUUUCUGAUGUGACAGGCACAAUUGAGGAAUUGCGAAAGGAACAUACGCCGAAAGGUUUCAGAUCCUGAUGUUUGGAACCUUGGGCAUGCAGUUAAGAGCUGUAUGACUGUCAUCAAAGAACUUGAUGGGGCGCUAUCCG
RNAcentral lists this non-coding RNA (169 nucleotides) under pig gut metagenome. RNAcentral's name for it is "Lysine riboswitch". It matches the Rfam family "Lysine riboswitch aptamer". Rfam says of the family: Riboswitches are metabolite binding domains within certain messenger RNAs that serve as precision sensors for their corresponding targets. Allosteric rearrangement of mRNA structure is mediated by ligand binding, and this results in modulation of gene expression. This family includes riboswitches that sense lysine in a number of genes involved in lysine metabolism, including lysC. The record is from RNAcentral.